Eriocheir sinensis (Chinese mitten crab) is the source of this 7223-nucleotide long non-coding RNA. RefSeq lists it as uncharacterized. Lineage: Eukaryota; Metazoa; Arthropoda; Malacostraca; Decapoda; Varunidae. The transcript is spliced from 2 exons. The record is from RefSeq and is a predicted model, not a curated record.
GGCAAUGACGGCAUGAAGGGAAGGACAUGGCGGUGAGGAUGGAGGUUGCUUUCACACACACAUGGCAUCAAAAGUGGUCUGACACACGAUUCUUGGCUAUAAUAAUCCGGUUGUAACUGAGACCAAUGACAACGUAGGGACGUGGUGGCACCCUGACAGGAGCAAGAGGUAUAACUGUCUGGUAAGCAUGACAAGGCAAAGAUGACCAACGUGUGUCAUGCUGCCGCUGCCCGAGGUUCUAUGCGCCUCUGUGCUCCAGCUAUAACGAGAGUGAAGGUCCUCAUUGAGUCUCAUCGCCGCAAAACCAGUCUUGCCUUAACUCUGAACCCCCCACCCACCCCGGCCAGCCUGCUUGCCAGCCUCUCACCUAUACACAGCUUCCCAUUAUACUCUUGCUCCUUGCCGCAACCGCUGGCCUCGCUCUUUUCUACUCAUAUUGCCGAGUAUGGAUUUCCAUCGCGUUAAAAGGAUAAAUUCUUAUGUUCUUUUACAAGAAGGACAUCAAGACAACUUUGGAACAAAAUUAGAUGAAUUGCUGUUAUGUCCAAUCUUUUAUUUAUGGAAAAUUACGUUGCGGGCUUUUUUUUUUUUUCAUUUCAUCCGGCUCUUGGAGUGUUUCCUUUGAAAAAAAUAUUGAGCCAGCCAUACUGAUUGCUAUUACACGUUUAUCCCUUGAAACAAGCAUUGUAACCCGAAUGUGCAGCAUCAGUCCCUUAUAACUAAUAUCUAUCUAUCUCCGACGCCCUGUUCCAUCACGAGAACUUCCCUCCAGAGGAUUGCCGCAGCAGAAGUGUCUCCAUAUCUCCCUUUUCUGGCACUCCCUCUCACCGCAUUCAAUCCUGCUGCUUCCAACUCUCUCGCUCCAAACUGGCUCACCCAACUGAUCCACUUCACAGGUGGUCUACUGGUCUUCCCCUGACACCCCAUUCCUCAAUCCUUUCCUUAUACACUGCAAAUUCAUUUUCACCACGUGCCCAAACCAUCUCGGCGUACCACGCUUCAGCCGUUCGACCACAUAACAGUUCACUCCCACUCACACCAAACUUUUCAAACAUGCUUUCAUUACUUUCUCCAUUCCAUCCUGAAACACAUGCACCUCUAAUAACAACUGAUCAGCCACAAAUAACUAUUAAUCAGCGUUAAUACCAAAUUGGCAUCGCGUCUACGAACAUAUCGGUAAGGUGUCCAGUAAAAGUGACUAAGUAUACUCUCGUCUGACCACAAAAAAAACUUAGAACCUUGUCCAGUGGCCCCGGCAAACAUUUCUUAACAUAGGCGAUGCGAUUCUUUUUGUGGCGUGCUGUUAAUAAAGGCUUCCGUGCUGCACGACGUGAUUACAGGUUCAAAUCGUCAUGAAGGUAACGAGAGGCACUCAAUGACACAUUUUGUAGGUCUCUUACUUUGUUUAAUGUCACGGGCUGUAUUCGUAGGAUGACUGAUCAGCUGUCUCUUGACAACAUUCAAUGUCUUUUUACUAACUUUUCUGAUUUUUCCUGGCCGUUUUGAAUGACUGGUUAACAAUUCAUCAGGACUCUCGCGGGCACUUUUUCACCCAUCGCCUUACACUCUGUUAAGAAACUCCUGUUGCAUCCUCAAAUUGUUUUGUGCUAUAAUGAGCUUUGUAUAAAGUGUGAAUAUGGGUGAUAGUCUCCCGGCUCAAGUCCGGCUUACGCCCCAUUUCCUGGUGAGACCAUCCGAAAUGAAACGUUCAAUUUACGGUAAAUUUAAAAUCUUGGAGAUCAGUGAAUGUAGUCGCCACACCGUACAACAUGCAACAUAUCCAACUGAGACAUACCCCACUCAGUUGCCAAUUAUCUGAAUUAAAUGCCAGACACACGAUAAAUGCAACUAAUCCUAUGAUGCCAAGGGGAUAAAUGAAAGUAGCCAAACGAAUGCUCUCGGACAAAUCGCGGCCGAAUUCAAUGGCAUAGACUAUAUACGUUUGUCCCUUGCAACAAGCACUGUAACCCGGGUAUACAGAAUCAGUGCUUUUUAUUAAUCUGCGUACCCCCGCUUUACGGAUUUGCUGCACUGCGUGGAUACGAAAACCCGUUAAUACCUAAAUAACUAUAAAUCAGCGUCAAUCCCGAAUCGGCAUCUAUGCAGUGAAUCGCGUCGGCAGGAUAGCCAGCGGGAGCAACCGGUCUGGGGAGAAGGAGGGGAACACCGCAAAGCAGACUACGGCGAGUGUUGCCCGAGUCUUGGUCUGCAGACCUGACACCUUCAUUCCUAAGACACACCAGAGGAAAGGAACAAGAUUCAAAGUCAACUGGGAUAGAAGAGAAAGGAUGCACCAUCUCCUUCAGGAUUUUGUUUGCAGACUUUAAUUUUAUUUCAAGAUCCAAAGAGCUGCAAUAAUGAAAAAUAUUUACUCAUCAUCAGAUAGCAUUCCUAAAGUUGAAAACUACACAAAUCUUCAUACAUGCAAGAGGGGAGAGUUAAGAAAAAAAUGGCAUUGUACUUUUCUUCUUCUCAGUUGAGAAGACAUUAGGAGAUUGAAAGCAAACUUUCACCAAGCGAAAGGUCCUUUCAGUGACAAUGAGUUUACAUCACAUGAUACUCGUGUUGCCAGCUACACAUCAGGGACAAUGAUCAUAGAAAGAUGUGUUCAAAAUUAUCAGCAAUGACUGUAAGAUUAGAGAUAAGUAUGAUGACCAAGAAUUGCAUACGAAGUUUCCUGUUCCUUUAAUAUACAUACCAUUUCACAUUCUUCACAUUACAUUAUAAUCCUUGAAAUAAAAGUGUUUUACACUGAACCAAAUAACACUUAAUUGAAGAGGUGCAGAACCUGUCCAAACACAAGUGACAACAAGAAGGAAGCUCCACACAAGGCAUCGAGGCCAACACCUGUGGCUGGUGAGGCUGCCCUGCGCUGCCCUGCGCUGCCCUGCUCCUCGCACAGGGGCAGGAGGAUAGCCCCCCAACACUACCAAUAAAUACUCAAACAGGGAAUGGGGGAAAUAAGAACACAUACAAACCACUACAAAAGUACAAAGGAAAUACAUUACAGAAAGCAAUGGAAGGAGUCUUUCAUAAAUAAAUAUGACAGAUUCAUUAGCAAGUUACAAUUAACAUUAACCAUAAACUGAUAUAUGAAAAUCAUCUGAACAUUAUCCCAGUACUCUUAAAAAAAUAUACAAUCAAAUAUAAUAUACACCACAUACCAAAAGAAUGUUCUGGCAAAACUCUUUAAGAAUGUAAAAUCAUAUGCAAAUAAUGUUUCUGGUGCAGUGAAUCCCCAGAAGUUCACCGGGAAUGGUAUUUCAUAUAAUGUACCACGCCACGACGCUGGCAACUUAAUAAAUUUAUCCUGAGAUGCGAUAGCACAUGGAAGCUUUUGCAUAAUAAAAAAGACCACACAACUCUAUCAAGCUCAAAGCUACAAUGGACAUGUGUCAAACAAAAAUAAUAAAUAGGUGGGAGAGGGAGAGAGAAAAAUAUAUGAUAAAUAAAGUGACCCAGACAAUCUCUCAAAGUGGAUUCUUCUCAGAACAAAAGUGGAUCUAUUGCAGAUCAAACUUUAUUCUUUUACUGCAGUGUGUGUGUGUGUGUGUGUGUGUGUGUGUGUGUUUACCUACUUGUGGUAUACGGGAUAUGAGCUAAGCUCGUGUUGUCCUGUCUCUAUAUUUACUUGUGUGUGUGUGUGUGUGUGUGUGUGUGUGUCCCCUCUUAUAAGAUGCACAAACACGCACACACACACACACACAGGAGGAGAGGCACACCUACUGUAGUCCCACACAGCAACGUAUGAUCAAUGAUGUUUCAGUGACUACAUUCACACUAGUAUAAAAUGAAAACCUAACUCUGUACAUUGAAGUGGGACAAAUUGAGGUCAACUCUAUGUAAGUUCAAAAAUAAUGGGAUAUUCCAACUGCAUCCCAAUUUGUACUUUUUACUGACCUGCAUAUGAAAUAAUGUUUUUCUUUUCUUUUCACAAAUUACAAGAGAAGAAUCCACCUGAGUGAUAGAACCGUAAUAUCAAAUCAUAGACACAAUAACAUCCAUAACCCAGCAGUGUUCCAUCAGCUCAUGUGCCCCUAAUAGCGCAUACAAAAUAUAUCUCUAACAUACACUGAAGUGCACACACCUCAAGAGUGCUAGAAUUACUAUAUUUAUAUAUAUUAUUUAUAUAUGUACACACAAUUUUCACGCCAGCCAACGAAAAUUAAACAGGACACUCGACAGACACUAUAGUCACUGAUGCCAGACUCCCGGGUCUCCUACGCUUUCUGACUCACGAGUCUCACAAAAGUUUUAAAUUAAGGAUUAUACUACAUACAUUAAUCAAUUUUGAAUUAAAUCCUGACCAGCAGAUGACUAGUUCCUGAAUCUGAAAAAAAAAUCACUGGGCAGAUAAAAGCCUAAAGAAAUUUAAUGUGUAAUAAAAAUAUUGAAGUGAAUGCAGCUGCAGACUUGCCAUUAUUCCCCAUAAGUGAAGCUGGCCACUCCAUCACUGACACCCACCUAACAUGAGUUCACUCCUACAAAUGGUAUAAACAAUGAGCAAAUUCUUAUUACACUAAUAAUAAUAUAUAUAUUUAUUUAUUUAUAUCUGUAUUUAUAUGUGUAUAUCAGCCAUAUUUAAGUCUUCACUCUUGUACUGAUGGCCCUAGUUUCUAGGGUUGAUAAUUAGCAUGGAGGACUGACUGCCAAAACUUAAUUUCAGAUAGGCUUUUGCCAACAACGAAAUGCGCUGCUCCUCCAUAAAACGAAGAACUUAGUAAAUAUGACUGAUAAUUGAGCGGAAGAGAUACUGCUGCCUUAAAUUACAUUAUGAUUAGGGAGGGAGAAUCAAUCUGUCAGCGGGUAAUCCCGUGACAAGCAAAACACACAAGAAACACUACCAUCUAUGUGCAAGAAGCUCAUCAUCAGAGCAGAGACAGAGGCAAGCAAACACAGGUCCAAAAGCACUUGGAGCUAAAACGGUGCACCUUGUUUUGCUGGCAUAGAAUCACAAAAAUCCCUCCUCCAACGUGUUUCUGCCGCGGCCUGCCUCUAGCACAUGGAAACGAAGAAGUGUUGCCAAAAAGAUUUAUAUUGUACUCAAAUACUUGUACCAGGUCUAGCACUGCCAUCAACUUACCAAAGAUAUUUCUGACAGAUUACAUUUUACUUUUUAGCUUUAUUCUGACAGCCGCAGAGGACAGUUUUUGACUUAUGACCUUUAGCAGUGAGUGAUCACAUUAUGCACUCAUUUCUGCUAAUAAAAUGAAAAAAUAUACCAUCAAAUUUGGUGAAGUAGGUCAGAGUACACAUCAGCCCGGCCCCCUGAGUCUGCUUGUCUCCUCCCUCACCACUACACUAUAAUAUACACAAAUUUCUUGUAGAUUCUAACAGAGCUCAUUCAAAAAACCCUAACAUCUGCUUCUAUCAGUGACAUUAAAUCUCACUAUGUGAAACUCUUAAUAGUAUAUAUCACAUAAAAAAUACCUGAAUGUUGGAAAACCAUUCAUGGUGUUCAUUUAUGCCACAUUUAUAAAAUGUGUCUUUCAACAAUGUGUAUGCUAUCAUAUUUAUAUAGAAAAAAUAAUGCUUUCAUAUCAUUUCUAUUGAAAAGUCAAACAAGACAGCUAAUCCAGUCCUAAAUGUCAAAUGCAAAAACCUUACAAAUAUUGACACUACUGGCCCAGCAAGAACCAGCCAGCCAGGGGACAAUGGGGGCAUGAUCAAUGGCAGCUUCCCUCACCCUGUGCUUGCACAUGCCUCACAAAACCUGACACUCCAGACAAGAAAGUGUGAGGUGGCUGAGGACACUCCCAACACCAUCAGUGUGAGGAUGACUGACAAAGAAACAACGAAGGAGUGAGGGCAGCAUACAUCUAACCAAGACAACCUGAGUCAAUAGAUGAAGGCUUUUUCUAAUGUAUGUGAAACUCAAAUCUAUCCGAGAGUGAACCUGUGAGUUAUCCUACCACUGUCAGAGAUCUGAAAUGUUCAUGUCUAAAGUAAAGCUUCAGUUCCUGCCACUGUAACAUCUACCUGUUGAUUUUUUUCUGGGAUAUGUACUAAUUCUUGCACUGUCCUAAUAUGUAUUCAUGUAUUUCCUUAUGAAGGCAAUUUCUGUUGGACACUAAUAACUGGGAACAUUUAAAAAUAUAUAUGAAAAAGACCAAGUAAGUAGAAAUCAAUUCUAAAUAAAUUCCAAACUUACAGAUCUGUUCUGUGCCUAUAACUAACCUUCCAAAGCUCUUGCACUGACUUGAUAGCUGCUUGACAUCCAGCACCAACGCUGGACCUCAGCCUCCACAAAUGAUUGUCUCUAAUUAAGAAGCUCUGGCCUGCCCUACCUCAGGUCCCUAACUCUACCUGCCAAGUUCUUGUUAGUUCCUUUUUUUUGCUACUUUGUGCCGGUUCUUUGAUGUUCAUGUGAUUGAUUUACGUCAAUAUAAAUUCUAUCACCAUACUAAAAACCCGAACAUGCAAGUAAUUUAGAAUUGAUAAGAAUCACCAUUAGUCUUGAAACGAGCCCAGAGAAUAUUACAAUACUCAGUCAAUACUUGAAUAUUAUUAUUAUUAUUAUUAUCAUUAUUAAAAACACCACCCACGUCACUCUGGUGUGGUUGGUAUAGUGCUGGUGUUUACACACUUUUGCCUAUGCAGUGAUCCAGGACUGUCUGAGGUUUGAAUCCUCUGCCAGCUUGGAAACACCAAUCAAUCAGCCAUUACAUGUGGCUCCCAAAAAUUGCUCUAGAUUAUGAAGUGAAUGAACAGUUUUGUCAUAUGUAUAGGCAAAGGUAAAAAGGUACUAAAGCUAUGACUGGUCCACUGAAAAUAUGCACUAAACACUGGUAGAUCCUGACAUAAAGACCAAUUAACAUACUGAGAUCAAUAAAAAUAAACUUACUUCAAUUCUACAGAUGACAAAUAUGAUAUAAAUAAUACAUUCCUUACCUAGUCUACUGGGAAUAAGUAUUUUGGCAUACAAUGAUGGUCAAAGACACACUUAAAAUGCAAGAUGAGUAAGUAAGAGUAUGAGUAAUGUGACCUAACAUAUUCUUUUAAUGUGGGGAGCUGUACUGAUAUCUACAGUGACCCACAGUCCCCUACAGACCCUUGGUUCCCAGCUGCCUCGGGACUCUGCCAACAUCCCAGCUAAAUUCUCGGAAAAAUGGCAAAACUUUACAAAACUAAUGAGAUCAAACAGGAUUGUCCCCUGACUGGCAAGCAUUAUAGACCAAAAAAAAAAAAAAAUAAAUAAAUAAAAAAAAAUAAAAAUAAAAAAA